GACGAACGCUGGCGGCGUGCUUAACACAUGCAAGUCGAACGGAAAGGCCCUGCUUUUGUGGGGUGCUCGAGUGGCGAACGGGUGAGUAACACGUGAGUAACCUGCCCUUGACUUUGGGAUAACUUCAGGAAACUGGGGCUAAUACCGGAUAGGAGCUCCUGCUGCAUGGUGGGGGUUGGAAAGUUUCGGCGGUUGGGGAUGGACUCGCGGCUUAUCAGCUUGUUGGUGGGGUAGUGGCUUACCAAGGCUUUGACGGGUAGCCGGCCUGAGAGGGUGACCGGCCAAAUGGGGACUGAGAUACGGCCCAGACUCCUAGGGGAGGCAGGAGUGGGGAAUAUUGCACAAGGGGCGGAAGCCUGAUGCAGCAACCCCGCGGGCGGGAUGACGGCCUUCGGUUUGAAAACCGCUUUCGCCUGUGACGAAGCGUGAGUGACGGUAAUGGGUAAAGAAGCACCGGCUAACUACGU
Molecule: ribosomal RNA, 467 nt
Filed under: uncultured bacterium
Lineage: Bacteria
Description: partial 16S ribosomal RNA
Rfam family: Bacterial small subunit ribosomal RNA
Source: RNAcentral